This is a long non-coding RNA of Syngnathus typhle (broad-nosed pipefish), 2730 nucleotides long. RefSeq lists it as uncharacterized. The record is from RefSeq and is a predicted model, not a curated record. Lineage: Eukaryota; Metazoa; Chordata; Actinopteri; Syngnathiformes; Syngnathidae. The transcript is spliced from 9 exons.
CAGCGGCCUUCCCUUCGGUGUAAACCUGCUCUUGUCGCAACAAAACAGGGCUAUUGUGGCAACGCUAAUCUGGGGAUUUUGAUUCUUCUGUCGCAUGAUCAGCAAAUGACCCCCACUUGGACGCCUGUGGUUCUUUGGACCCCACUUGGAAUUGUAGCUGUCAUGUCACCAUCCAGUUUGUUGUGAGCGACGACCGCUAUCUAGUGGCUCUCAUGAGGUCCUUUGUGAUGUUUUCCUCAAGAGCAUCAAGGCAAACCGUAGAAGGACCCCGGAGUCCGAGGGUUCAAAGUUCACGCUCGGGAGGAAAAACUGUUCUGACGUGCCAUUUGUAAUGACUACCAGUCUGGCCUACUUGUUAUGUGAGGUAAAGGACAAGAAAAGCUGGCACAGAGGAUCCUCGGUUCAAUCUGAUGAAACUAUAAAAGGAAUGUUUCUGUUUAAAAUGAUUUCUCGUGGACUGGUGUUGACACACCAUGACUUCAGUCAGACGUGGAGGGAGGAGUUGAUGUUUCAAUCUGCUUGAAGUUUAAAACAACAACGGUGUCCUAAGGAAAAGCAGGUGGGAAGUGCAGCGAAAUUGAGGACUUGAGCUCUGCUGCCUCCUCGCGGUUAUCAAUGGAAGCUCAACGGCGCACACUCCAGUUCGACUCAGAAUGUGUCAUUGGAGAAAAAAAGUUUGUCAACAACUGGGGAUGGCUGAUGGUGUAGUAAUAUUUAACAUAUUCAUUUAAUACAGCGAAAAUCUACAUUCAUGUAACAUUUCAGUAUGCUACGCAGUGGUAGUAUUAAUUUAAAAACCAUUUUAAAUGAGUUGUUUUUAUGAGAGAUUCCGACAUUUAUUCGGAGCUAUGACAAUGACAUGGGGGUUGCUAAAUUGUAUUGGCCCUACCCACCUACCAAAGCUUAGACCAAACCUACGCCUUUGGUUUUGAGUGAGUAUUGCAAACAUUUCCAAGCGGUUGUUUGUCGUUUUACAUGUAAAUAUGCAGGAGCAUCAUUACGACACGAGCUCCUUGAGUUUGUUUGUACCUCGCGAGCUACCGUAUAUCAACAAAGGUGGCUUGUCAGCGAGCACGCCCACAACUGGCACUCGGCUGUCGAUCAAACUUUAAUCAAGGAAACCGUUUUGUUGCUUUGUUAUGUUUUCCACGCAUAAGCUGAUGUUCAAACUGCAAGAGUGGAGGCUCCACGUCGGCUCCUGGUCGUCUACCUGCACAUCUCGACGCCAACAUAUUUUCGAAAGGAUAUAGUGAAGGUUUGGGCCCCAAAGGUGCUGCUGACAGCCUUGUGGGACAUGCGCAGCGGAAGGGACAUGAACCUGCAACUGGACCAUGAUAGUAAACAUUCAAUCGCAACAAAGUAACAAGUCUGAUCGCAGUCUGCUUGUUGCCGAGUGGCGGAGUGGCCGGCCAGUGGGACGAGUGGACGGCCAGUGGGACGAGUGGACGGCCAGUGGGACGAGUGGCGGAGUGGACGGCCAGCGGGACGAGUGGCGGAGUGGACGGCCAGCGGGACGAGUGGCGGAGUGGACGGCCAGCGGGACCUAAGACAAAAAGAUCUGUUACCUUUGAUAUAAGGAAGUACCAAGAAAAAGCAAAGUGUUUCUGGCAUGUAGCUUUCCUCUGCUCCAUUGCUUCCACUGUGAGCAGGUACUUCAUGGUGCUCCUCCCCUGGACACAAAAAACCUUUGGAACAUGGUAUGAAAUUUACUUCCUUCUCUUACCAGCAGAGGGCUCUUCAGGCAGCAAGUAGAGACCUGGUACACAUGUAAAAAAGUUAACUUAAAGCUUUCGGCAAGUAGCUUACCAUGAAUGGUUGUUUUCACCUGUAGGUCCUAUGAAGAAAAGGAACAGACAACUCAUUUUUAGUUUACUUUAUUUAUUUUUCUAACUGUAGACUGAAACCCUCCGCUGAAGACUUUUGUCAUUUGUGCACUUGAAUCUGAGACGAGUAACAGCACGUGGAUCUCCUGAAAUGUUGCAGACUCCUCAACGAACAUCUGCAUACACACAGGGGAACAGUCAAGGCAAGUCUCAACACUGAAAAUGGAUACAGCCUAGAGGACCUUCGGCACAGUUUUGCAGAAUUUAUUGGCCUAGCAGGUGGAGGGUCUUUUUCCUACUCAACGCUGCACUCUUAGGGGAUAGUGUUAACAUGCCAAAUUUUUGCCCAAGUUUUGUCACCUGUCAGCAUGUAGGACAGGAAGUCGAUUAGGACGCCUCAUUUCUUGACAGCUUGCACCCGCGCCACCUGAAACAAAACAAAAAACGUGUCAAGCCCUUUGAUUUGUCGAGUUUGUCAUUGCAACAGGUUCAAACCUAGAGCUUUUACUUCAGUCAAUUCAUGUAGCAGGUACCAGGUCCUUUGGCACCAUCUAGUGGGCAAAACGGGGCGAAAACGCACAAAUUGAAAUAAAUUGGACAAACAAUUGUUCAUCUAUUAAAGUGUGCAUGUGUGUUUCACCAAUGAAGAAUGCAGGUGCAGCUCUGGACUUCUCUCCAACCGCAAUUUGUUGGCCUGAAAGACACAGUAACGUUACAACCCAUCUUGUGGUAAAUGUUCUGUCAUACGCGAUGGUUUGAUAGACAUGGUCAACAAGAGUAGACCUGCAAACGUCUCAAAUCCAGGGCUCACAGGACAGCAAGUCGGCCAUUUUGAAACCUGCAGACAAAAAAUAAAAUUAAAACUUGAUUUAGUUAAAUGGAUGUGCAAAUUAAAACGUUAAUUUUG